AUAAUCCUCCAGGCUUCCAGAACAGGUGACUGGUAGCUCUGGUUUUUCAACUGAUAGCUAAUCAGUGUUAUGUAUGAUCUUGGAUGCAGAA
Molecule: long non-coding RNA, 91 nt
Organism: Sphaeramia orbicularis (orbiculate cardinalfish)
Lineage: Eukaryota; Metazoa; Chordata; Actinopteri; Kurtiformes; Apogonidae
Exons: 4
Source: RefSeq, a predicted model, not a curated record